AUACUUACCUGGCAGAGGAGAGACCAUGAUUACGAAGGUGGUUUUCCCAGGAUGAGGCUUAUCCAUUGCAUGCCGGAUGUGCUGACCCCUGCGAUUUCCCCAAAUGUGGGAAACUCGACCACAUAAUUCUCCCCUGAAAAAAUUUUUUACAAAAAUUC
This 158-nucleotide small nuclear RNA is filed under the name Carlito syrichta (Philippine tarsier). Its description in RNAcentral is "U1 spliceosomal RNA (ENSTSYG00000032494.1)". It matches the Rfam family "U1 spliceosomal RNA". Rfam says of the family: U1 is a small nuclear RNA (snRNA) component of the spliceosome (involved in pre-mRNA splicing). Its 5' end forms complementary base pairs with the 5' splice junction, thus defining the 5' donor site of an intron. The record is from RNAcentral. Lineage: Eukaryota; Metazoa; Chordata; Mammalia; Primates; Tarsiidae.